RNAcentral lists this long non-coding RNA (1149 nucleotides) under Anas platyrhynchos platyrhynchos (common mallard). Its description in RNAcentral is "lncRNA (ENSAPLG00000020167.1)". The record is from RNAcentral. Lineage: Eukaryota; Metazoa; Chordata; Aves; Anseriformes; Anatidae.
CGGGUUAACAGCUCGGUAGGAAAUUUGAGAAGGAUCCCAGUUCCCUCGGGAUCACUGUCCCGGGAGCGCUGCAGUCUGGUUCCCUCCUCAGCUUCUCAGCUGCGAGGCUUCCAGCUGCUGCCCUCGAAGCUCACCCUGCUCUGUCCUACUGCCCACAGACUCAACAAUUCCCUCUUGCUGCCUCUCAGGCUGCUGCUGCCUCCUGCCAAGCCCAGGCUGCAUCCCGGAGACCAGGAGCAGCGAUCUGUCUGUCUGUCCGCCGGACACACAACCACACAGCACUUUGCAGUCGCAGUACCAGUUUUUGCUCAUGUUGCCCAGAAAUGCCAGGUGCCAACCUCUCCUUCCCUCUCGCAGUUCCAGGAGGAGCAGCGCCGCCGGGAGAUCGAGGAGCGCCGGAGGUUUCCGCUGGAGCAGCGGCUGAAGGAGCACAUCAUCGGGCAGGAGAGCGCGAUAGCCACGGUGGGAGCAGGGUGGCCCAGGGGUUGCAGCUGGCCUCCAGGGGUUGCGCCGCUCACCGUUAGCAUCUGCAGUCAGCUGCUGGCUGAAAUACGGUGCCUGAACACCACGACACUUGAACAUCUUUUUCCCAGGACCAUUUGUCUUAAGAAUGUUGUUCAUUAAUAAUUCACGAGCAGUUCGGUACAGCUCUGUGUGCAUAAACACCUCGCACACAGCCUGCUCGGGGAACCUUUCUGUGUUCCUUACAGAUGUGGGACCGGGCUCCACGCAAAAUAUAAGCACGUAGCUCGGUCACACUUCCCUGUCCAUCACCUCAAAGGCCAUUUUAGCCCCGUGUCCUGCCAGCAGAGUGCAGAAACCAUCAGGAAGACAAACAGAGGGGUAUUGCCCUGCUCUGCUCCCCCCACAUCCAACAAUUUGCAACCAGGAGCUCUUCCCACCUCCAUCCUUCUGGGGGUGUUGCUCGGUAAAUACUGACGAUAACACUAAAGCAAAACUGUUGUCAGCAGCGUGUCCCUGCUCAGUCCGAGAGCCCUGGGGGCACAUCACCAUCCCCUGCCGGGAGCAGGAUUAGCUCACAGGGCACACCACCAGCCUGUGCUUUAAAGCUGGGUGACUUACAUCCCUUACCUCUGGCCAGGAGUGAUUUAAUCGCCCGGUGUUCCCUUCUCCGCACCGACUCCCACC